CAUUUGUCAUGUGAAAAAUAAAUCAAACAAACAAUAAAACAACAUUCGGCAUCGCCACGCGUACGUUGUUCUUUCUGUACUACUUUAAAAAUUGCGCCAAAUUAUGGCGAACGUCGAAUGCUCGUGGCGGUGCUCUGCAGCGAGUUACGGCUUCGCCAUAUCCCUAUACUUCUGCUGAACUCUACGCCGCGCACGGAGUGCAAAUAGCUUGAAGGAGACGCCGAUUGCAGAUCCUAGUGAAGACGCAAAAUGAUUGGAGCACUGAAUUACAGUAUUCUGCUGCGCGGAUCAAGACUAUCCAGUUACUGGAAAGUUGCAUCAAACGUGAAGUUCGACAUGCCGUCGAACUCUACAACAGCAAUGAUGAAUAGAUCAUUAGCAAGAGAAAUGUGCAAAUUUGUGCCACAAAGGUCUUCAAAAUCAUUAAAAGUACAGGGCUUAGACGGUAUACCGCUUAGUUACGACAUUAUCUAUACCUCACAUGAAUAUCACACCACAGCUCAGUAUUUGUUCACAUAUAUGCCGGUUGGAGCAACAAUAGGAGGUCUUUGUCAAAUAGCAUUGGACUUUGAAACUUUCUUUCCUGAUCCGAUGAGUGCUGCCUUGAACAUAUGGAUUGCGACUUUAUUUUACUUUUUAAAUAUCAAAUCAGCUAUUCUGGCAUACAAGGCUCCAGUAAGAAUCUAUCACGACAAAGAAACAGGAAUUUAUAAGGCUAUCUUCAAUGACUGGAGGCCAUUUAAGAUCAGAACACUGGAGUUUAAAAAGGGAUCGGUCGCACAAAUUCCACCACCUGAUGAAUUCACUUGGUUUUCACACAGUAGAUAUCGUAUAAACGGAGAGAAUAUCUACAUGGUGCUCGAUUUUUUUAGAUACCCUAGUGAUUUGUACAAUAUGUUUGAUGGAGUAGCAGUUGAGACUGAGGAAGAAACCAAGAAUGAUGAUUAGCCAUACUAAAGUAACUGAAUCAUAUAACUGUUGUAUGAGUUUCUUGUAGUUCUUACAAACUAUUGCACAGCAUACAGUUUUACAUGUAAGAGAGUAUUAACACCAGAUUUUCGAUUGAAUAAAUUUAACACCAUAUUAAAUUAUGUUAUAAAAUUAUCUGCAAAUUUAAUAAAUCAGAAUAACAUUUUUUACUGUUGAUUAUUCGUAUUUCUGUCCCUUUUACAUUUUAAAAAAAUUGAUACAAAAGACUCACGUCGCAUAAUGAAAAACUAUAUGUACUUUGAAAGAAUACUUAAAUAAAAAAGAACCUUUUCGUUAUACAUUGUAUAAAAAUAAAUACAUUCAUUUCUCUUACACACAUCAUGUCAUGUGAACAACUAUAAAGACGCUAUUGCAAAAAUAGUUGCAGUGAGAUACUUUCUUAGAAUUGAAUUUUUCGAUUUGAUAUUGAUAUGAAUGCUUUAUAUAUGAAUAUUUCUAAUAGAUUGAUCAUAUAAGUAACGUAUUAUAUACUGUAAGACAAAGAAUGAUGUAUCUAAGUAAAUGAAAUUAAUAUAACUCGAUUCAUUUUGGUCACGAUAUGCAUGUAUAUAUUUUAAACCUACUUACGUUAUUACAAUGUUAAUAAUAAAAUAAUAUAACAUGACGAGUUACAAAAUAUUUCACUUAACUGCACUCGUCCUAGCGACGUAACAUCUCUCUUUAGAAUAUACAUAGAUUUGUUCUAGUUACGUAAAUUGAUAUAUUCGCUCGUGGACCUCAGUCGUAAGAAUUUGUUGGAGAGCACGUCAUUAAGUUCAUGUAUUGUACGUAAAACUGCAAUUCAUGAAACAUUGGAUAAAUUCACUGUGUAUGAACGCAGCAGUAUAGCUAAAUGCAUGAACACAAUUUGCUCAUACUAUUUUUAUUACUAAUGCUAAUCAAGCAUUUACAUAUAAUUGACAAAUGCAUUGUAUUUUAAACUAUCAGGCUUACUUAAAUGUAUGUAUAUCCUCUCUCUCCUUGAAGUUUUUCUCUGUAUCAAUAUUUACGUUAAAUGCACAUCAAUAGCUUACGUCUGAAUCAUUUAUUGUAGGAAAUUUGCAAUUUUCUUUCUUUUUUUUUUUGCGUUACCAAUUGAUUUAUACUUAUUUAACUAAUGGUUAAUCCAGCUCAAGACUAAAUAAAUGGAUGACAUAUGGUUUAGCAGUUGGAUUGUUACAUUGAGCAAAGCCUUUUCAUAUAGGUCCGUUAUAACGAUAGGCAAGUUCUGAGCAUGCAACUUGAAUUAUACACUAAUUACAGAGCAACUGAUGUACAUAAGACAUCAGUGAUCAUCCAACAACUAGAACAAUAAAUGUUGAGCCUAUAUUCUUGUUGACAUACUGUACACAAACAUUAUUUGAUAAACGAAAACAUACUAUAAUAAAUUGGAGGAUAUAAAUAAUCCAAUAAUUAGUCAAAUAAUAUUGGUAACAAGUUUCUCAAAAAUCGAAUCAACUAUGUUCGAAAUAUUGAUAGCAUGAUUCCUCUAUCUACGCAAGAUCUAAAAAUAUAAUUCUCAAGUAUUGCAUUUAUAGCCCCAUAGUGAAGUUACUGAUAUACAUAAAUGUUACGUAUGUGAUUGCUUAUUGUGAAUUGUUUAAGAAAAUUUAAUAAAUAUUUUGUUUAUUUUAUGACUAUUAAGUAAGUAUUAAUUUAUCAGAUCAGGAUAUCUCCAAUAACGUUCUCAAGUGGCCUCAAGAUGGUAAAGAUUUAUAAUACAGCCUGUAAGAGCUAAUUAUAAUAUGAGGCAAAAAGCAUUUUGUUUUUCAUAAACUCUGGAACGACCAAAUCUUUUUACAUUAAAGAUACAAGAUUUUUAGAA
Long non-coding RNA from Neodiprion fabricii, 2794 nucleotides. RefSeq lists it as uncharacterized. The transcript is spliced from 2 exons. The record is from RefSeq and is a predicted model, not a curated record. NCBI's taxonomy places the organism in Eukaryota, Metazoa, Arthropoda, Insecta, Hymenoptera, Diprionidae.